Non-coding RNA from Nicotiana tabacum (common tobacco), 417 nucleotides. Lineage: Eukaryota; Viridiplantae; Streptophyta; Magnoliopsida; Solanales; Solanaceae. The record is from RefSeq and is a predicted model, not a curated record.
AUAUGAGGAAGUUGCCAGACAAAUUGCUAGGUCGCUGACUGCCUAUGGGAUCUCGUAUAAGAUCGAUAUAACAGGUACAUCAAUAGGGAAAAGGUAUGCAAGAACAGAUGAACUUGGGGUCCCCUUUGCCAUUACAGUGGAUUCAACAUCCUCUGUGACAAUCCGUGAAAGGGACAGCAAGCAGCAGAUUCGCGUGAAUGUGGACGAAGUAGCAUCUGUUAUUAAGGAGGUAACCGAUGGUCCAAGCACUUGGGGUGAUGUGUUGUGGAAAUACCCUACUCAUUCUUCUUGACCCCCAUUGAGAAUGUUUACUUAAUAGCCUGAAUUGUUUAUCCGAGAUUGAUGCACCAAUUUGGAUGUACUAUUCUAAUUUGCAUUGAAGCAUCAGUAAAUACUUAUCCAAUUAGAUUACUUGUA